This 1058-nucleotide long non-coding RNA is filed under the name Apteryx haastii (Great spotted kiwi). Its description in RNAcentral is "lncRNA (ENSAHAG00000013535.1)". Lineage: Eukaryota; Metazoa; Chordata; Aves; Apterygiformes; Apterygidae. The record is from RNAcentral.
UAUGACUAAUGAUACCUAUAGCAAAUAACUGUCGCAAGGGGAACUAAGAACUCUAUCCUACACUUAGCAAAAUACCUACAAACUAAGAACCCCCUCAACUGCCCUAAGAAUUCUCAAACUAACUGUCACUAACCACUAAAAAUGAAAUAACUACAUCUACACUAACUGUCUACAUCCUAAUCCUCCCAAUAAUCCUAAAAUAUUAAUUAUCCUUAAUGCCCUAUAACCUAAGGAGAGCCGUGGCGGGGUGGUGGGAGCCAUUGGCGGGCGCUGUCUCCGUCCCGCAGCGGAGGUGGAGGGAAGCCCUGGCAGGGACGUGUCCCCGCGGUCGGCCCUGCCUCUGCCGGGCAGAUGUUGGUGCCCGGCGGCCAGGGGAGGCGCGGAGGUGCCGCGCGGCCCAGAGAUCCUCGGCCUCCCAGCCCAGCGCCUUGGGCUCUGCUGCCCUGGCUGGGGGUGGCACCAGCCUGCUCCUGCUGGGGGGCCGUGCCCCGGCUGGUGGCCACCGGGGGCCUCCUGCCGCGCUAGCACCUCCUCCUCCUCCUCUUCGGCCCCUGGGGCAGGUCCGCGGGGCGCGGGGCAGGCUGCCCCUCCGCAGGGUCCACCUCCAUGGGCUCCUCCUCCUCCUCCGCGGGCUCCACCUGCUUGGGCUCCGGGACGGCUGCGGCACUGCGCAGGAGGGCAGCGCAGCACUCCCAGACACUUGCGCCCACCUUCCUCUUGAUGCGCAGCGCCGCCUACCUACUCGCCCACAGCCGCUCCGGCUGGCCCAUGGUGGCAGGAACGGAGAGCUUGCUGCGGGCCCUCUCCCACCACCGGCCUCUCAACGGCUCUGGAACAUCGGCGCUGAGCUCACUGCUGACACGCGCGCGCCAUGGCGAUGGCAUGCCUGGCUCGGUCCCCACGCGCGGGGGCCCUGCCGGGCUCUGCCCCGCGUGCGGGGGGAUCCUGGGGGCUGCAGGGGGCCCCCGUGGGCAGGGGGCCGUGCGGCUGCGGGCUGCUCUCCUUGGCACCCUUCCCGUGGGCUGGCCUCCUUUCUAGACAAAAACAUGGGGGGCGUG